Molecule: long non-coding RNA, 3720 nt
Organism: Ictalurus punctatus (channel catfish)
Lineage: Eukaryota; Metazoa; Chordata; Actinopteri; Siluriformes; Ictaluridae
Source: Ensembl
GGAAAUCAUAACCUGGGAGACUUGGUGCACUGAGACACCCCUUCAGUAACGUUCUCUCUUUCUUUCUUUUUUUUAUUUUUUUGAUGGAUUCAUUUAUAAGAACCUACCUCUGAAUCUAAUCUGAGAAUUAGGCAGAGAUAUGGGACAGCAUGUCAUUUGUUAAGCAAUAUCAGCUCCGCAGGUAGGAGCUUGUCUUCUUCACUGGAAAAACACUCAAGUGAGAAGAAGAAGCUAAUCCAUAUUCAUCCGCUGGCCCUCAAUGACCACAUGCAAAACAGUCAUUUCAGAUGUGCCAUGUUUUUUUCCCCCUUGUCUUCUCUUGUGGCAUGUCUUUUUUUAAUGGUCUGAGGGACCACACACACACACACACACACACACACACACACACACAUACACACAGCGGUAGGUUUCCGAUCAAAGGCCGCCUCUUCUCUGGAGGGUCUCAUGCUGGGACCAUCGCAGUAUUGAAGAAUAAUUGCCUUCCUUAGCAUAUACGUCUGUGACUCCCAUCAUUAGGGUUUUAAUGAGCAGAAAAAUAGUGUGAAACACGUUUAAUUUUGGACUGUUGUGACUCCGUCUUUAAUAGUUAAACUUCAGAAUUCAAUCCAGAUAACAAAACAAUUCUUUCUUUAGCAACAAUGGCAUUUGUAGGAUUGAAAAAUAGUCAGGUAUUAGUCCAGAUCCAUACAGGGACAUCAGGUGGUGUCCUGAAGCAUACGUUAGUUAGUUAGUUAGUUAGUUAGUUAGUUAGUUAGUUAGUUACAAAACUGAGAUCCUAAUUAAUUUAAAUAGUUAGUUAAAAUAGGUACAUUAUAUAAAUUUUAAGCAUUUUAUAAAGCCAAUAUAAUUUAUAGAUUCAUAUCAUUUAAGUUAUUAGUUUUACUGAGUAUUAUCUGAGUUUAUAUCUGUAUUUCUGUCCUUCAGUCUUGAUAUAAGGACAUAAUCUGUUGAAUAUUGCAGGCAGCAAUAAUAUGAAGUACGUAUCAAUCUGAAAGCUUUUACAUUUCAGAUAUCAUGUGCUACAAUAAUGCAGAUAAUUAGCUUUCUAAUUGGCUGCUGUAAUUUUUUUUUGAUGUUUUAUAGCCUAUUUCUGUGUGACAAUGUUGGAUGGAUAACCUAAGUAAAAUUAAAAAAUUCAGCUUGAUUUGAUAUACUUCUUCUUCUAAAACAAUGCAAUGGGGGAAAUGAUGAUGAACAGGAAACAAGGAAAAUCUGGUAGGAUUAUUCAAAGCAUACAUUUCCAUGCAGGAGAAAAUGUGAUCAGUAUCUUCUUUUGAAAAACUUGUCUAAAGCUGUAAGGUGUUAGAUUAGUUCUAGGGGAUUUGAGCAGCAAGUUAAAUUUUAUUUGCUGUCGGAGUUGUUUUACCGUUAUGAAUUAAUUAAAGCGCGAGCAGCCGUUUUUUUUUUCACUGUAAUCAGUUAGGAUGUUGAUGUCAGAGGCGGGACAUUAAUGAAAUGACUGAUAUGAUGGCUGAUCAGUGGAGAAUGGCUCAAAACCACAUCCUCUACUGGGUGUGUGCGUGCGUGUGUGCGCGUGUGCGUGCACAUGUGUGUCUUCAGUUGGGGCUGUCUCCAUUCUUCAACUAGCUAUCUUACACUUGUUUCUGGUCAGUUGGUUAAAGCUCAGUCUUAGUAGCCUGGAUUCUGCUUCACUUCUGUCACUAUGGAUAGAAGCAUCUGUCAAAUGAAUGAACAUAAUUGCAGAAAAAAAAUAAACAUCUGGAGCGGCAUGUGCUCUUCUGGGUCUGUGUGGGUUUCCUCUAGGUUUUACCGUUUCCUCCUACCUCCCAUUAACAUGCAAGUACAGUAAGUGGAUUAGAUAUGCUAAACUGCCCACAGGUGUAAAUGAGUGUGUGAAUGUAUAUGUUCCAAUAUGAUGGAUACCCAGGGUGUAUUCUCAGCUUGCACCCAGUUUUCCGAUGAUAGGCUUUGGAUACACUGCAGUCAUGACCAGGAUAAAGCAGCUAAUGAAGACGAAUGAAUGAAUGAAGAGACACUAUAGCCAAUGAUAGUGACACAAUAUUUAAAACACAAGGAGGAUUCAAUAUAAAAAAAUAUUCCCGUCUUAAUAUAUAUGGUAUGACUGUCUAAUUGUCAUGUAAGCAAUUUUUCCUUAAAAACUAAUAAUUGAUAGCUGUAUGUUGUGUUGUGAUAGGUGAUAACUGAGUUGUGUCUUAGAAAUGAGUGUGUUGUAUGCUGUGGCUUGGUGUGAAAAUCGGUCUGCUAUGAUGAUGGAGACAGAAGUUCAAGACGUAACAGUCUGUGUUUGUGCAGAAAGCUAUACAAUUCUGGGGUGGCAUGAUUAAGACAUGAUUAAUUACCAUUUUAAAUCUGUAUGAGUCCCUCCUUGACUGAAACUGACAGGUACAAUUGACCACACCUCUACUCGGAUUUACCAAUACCAAGAAGUCUAUAUAUUGGUUCAUUUUUGAUCACAUCCCAUCCUUUCUCUGAUUAAUGUCAUAUUUCUAUCGGUGCAACUGUAAUAUCUUAAAUAUUCAAAGCAGAGCUAUAGGUUAAAUAUAACACCAUAUCAAAUCAGCAUCAUAGUGCACAUAACUAACAGCAUGACAAAUAAGGUAGGCCUGACUAAAACACAAAACUAGAGAAUUAAACUGGAUUUUUACUAGACUACAUUGUAAUAUGGAAGUCCAGUUCUGCCAUGGAGGGAAAAAUGAAAAAGGUAAUUGCAACUUUAUAUCUCACAAUUCUGACAUUUUGUUACGUGAAAUUUAGACAUCCACUUGACACAGUACCUGAAAUAUGACAAACUUCAUGUAACAAGCAUUUGCUAGUGUCUGGUUUUCCUUGUCUUGACUAGGUAUUGAGUGUUGUUCUUAUAUAGUCUAUUUAUAGAGAAUGAUUGAUGCUUUGUUGGUGCAUACUUUGUAACGUACUAAAUGUCAAGUGGACGUCUAAAUUGCAUGAAAUAAUUCACAAUUGUGUGAUAUGAACUCACAAUUGUGAGAAAAAAAGUCUGAAUUGUGAGAUGUUAACUCAAAAUUGUGAGAAAAAAGGUCAGAAAUGCAAAAUAUAAAGUUGAAGUUAUGAAAAAUAAAUUCACAAUUCUGAGAUAUAAAGUCGCAAUUACCUUUUUUUAUUUUCCCAUAUUCCAUGUUUUAAACUUCUUUAGAUAAAAAAGCAUUGAAAUUCUGGCCUGUUCCUGAACCAGUCGGAUCAGACCUUUCAGUGCAGAUCAAACUAAUACUGUUGCAAUGAUAAAGCAUUUAGUAUUUAUCAAGUGAUGUACUGACAGAAGCACAUGUUUACAUUAACCAUUUUAUUUCCAGUGCAUGUUGAUUUGUUGGAAAAUGUCAUACAGCAUUAGAAAAGAAGCAUACUAAACUGUACAGUACUCUUCUAUGCCACUGGGGUAGAACCCUCAAGGGUACAUCUUUUCUACCGUUAGUUAUGUGUCUUUUAACUGAAAAGUAGUAUGUAGUAAUAUUUUAAUCUAAAAGCUAAUAAAGGAUAUACGAGUGAUCCUUAAGGUCCAAUUAUGUCCAACUAAGGUAAAUUAUAUUCGCAUAGAUACACGCGCAUAGCAUCUCACCCAAUGGUAUGUUUUUGGGAUGUGAGAGGAAACUGGACAAUUCACACAGACACUCCACACAAACAGUAACCUAACAGAGGCUUCAAACUUAGUUUGUGUGUGCUCCAACUUCAACCUCUGCAAUACUAUAUAUACGAUACCUGUCCAUUUCUGUAAGUGUGAGUUAG